RNAcentral lists this ribosomal RNA (550 nucleotides) under uncultured bacterium. RNAcentral's name for it is "partial 16S ribosomal RNA". It matches the Rfam family "Bacterial small subunit ribosomal RNA", at positions 355 to 895 of the family's 1533-position model. The record is from RNAcentral.
UGGGGAAUUUUGGACAAUGGGCGAAAGCCUGAUCCAGCAAUGCCGCGUGUGUGAAGAAGGCCUUCGGGUUGUAAAGCACUUUUGUCCGGAAAGAAAUCCUUGGCUCUAAUACAGUCGGGGGAUGACGGUACCGGAAGAAUAAGCACCGGCUAACUACGUGCCAGCAGCCGCGGUAAUACGUAGGGUGCAAGCGUUAAUCGGAAUUACUGGGCGUAAAGCGUGCGCAGGCGGUUUGCUAAGACCGAUGUGAAAUCCCCGGGCUCAACCUGGGAACUGCAUUGGUGACUGGCAGGCUAGAGUAUGGCAGAGGGGGGUAGAAUUCCACGUGUAGCAGUGAAAUGCGUAGAGAUGUGGAGGAAUACCGAUGGCGAAGGCAGCCCCCUGGGCCAAUACUGACGCUCAUGCACGAAAGCGUGGGGAGCAAACAGGAUUAGAUACCCUGGUAGUCCACGCCCCUAAACGAUGUCAACUAGUUGUUGGGGACUUCAUUUUCCUUAGUAACGUAGCUAACGCGUGAAGUUGACCGCCUGGGGAGUACGGUCGCAAGAUU